UACGUAGGGGGCGAGCGUUGUCCGGAUUCAUUGGGCGUAAAGAGCUCGUAGGCGGUUCGGCAAGUCGGGUGUGAAAACUCCAGGCUCAACCUGGAGACGCCACCCGAUACUGCUGUGACUCGAGUCCGGUAGGGGACCACGGAAUUCCUGGUGUAGCGGUGAAAUGCGCAGAUAUCAGGAGGAACACCGGUGGCGAAGGCGGUGGUCUGGGCCGGAACUGACGCUGAGGAGCGAAAGCGUGGGGAGCGAACAGG
Molecule: ribosomal RNA, 254 nt
Filed under: uncultured bacterium
Lineage: Bacteria
Description: partial 16S ribosomal RNA
Rfam family: Bacterial small subunit ribosomal RNA
Source: RNAcentral